UGGAAUCUCGAAUGUAAGAAAACAUUAUGUUGCAAUAGUAUUACUCAGGCAAUGCAUAUGAAUGAAAUUUAUAAAAUUCAUGGAGAUAUCGAGUAACCGUCGUCGUCGCCGAUGAGUCGGGGCUGCUACGCAUGAGCCGUUGGCUGGAGAAAACUGCCACGCCACAUGCCUGAAGGCGUCAUUGCGCUUGUACUGGGAGAUAGGCGCGCCAUAGCUUAUAAGCCCGUCGUCGCGUGUCGGUUGUUUGUUGCUGGUGUUGGACGCGGACAUCGCUGCGCCGCAUGCCUGAAGAAACCGCGUU
RNAcentral lists this long non-coding RNA (301 nucleotides) under Hordeum vulgare. RNAcentral describes it as "long non-coding RNA (HVUL_LNC007903)". Lineage: Eukaryota; Viridiplantae; Streptophyta; Magnoliopsida; Poales; Poaceae. The record is from RNAcentral.